UACGGGGGGGGCAAGCGUUGUUCGGAAUUACUGGGCGUAAAGAGCUCGUAGGCGGCCACUCAGGUCGAAUGUGAAACCUCGAGGCUCAACCUCGAGCCUGCAUUCGAUACUGGGCGGCUAGAGUCUGGUAGGGGGAUCUGGAAUUCCUGGUGUAGCGGUGGAAUGCGCAGAUAUCAGGAGGAACACCGGUGGCGAAGGCGGGUCUCUGGGCAACAACUGACGCUGAGGAGCGAAAGCGUGGGGAGCGAACAGG
This 253-nucleotide ribosomal RNA is filed under the name uncultured bacterium. Its description in RNAcentral is "partial 16S ribosomal RNA". It matches the Rfam family "Bacterial small subunit ribosomal RNA", at positions 524 to 776 of the family's 1533-position model. The record is from RNAcentral.